RNAcentral lists this transfer RNA (73 nucleotides) under Bacteroides sp. RNAcentral describes it as "tRNA-Thr". It matches the Rfam family "tRNA". From Rfam's summary of the family: Transfer RNA (tRNA) molecules are approximately 80 nucleotides in length. RNAcentral also lists the same sequence under 6 other names. The record is from RNAcentral. Lineage: Bacteria; Pseudomonadati; Bacteroidota; Bacteroidia; Bacteroidales; Bacteroidaceae.
GCCACUGUGGCUCAGUUGGUAGAGCAACGCAUUCGUAAUGCGUGGGUCGGCGGUUCGAGUCCGCCCAGUGGCU